RNAcentral lists this ribosomal RNA (325 nucleotides) under uncultured eukaryote. Its description in RNAcentral is "partial 18S ribosomal RNA". It matches the Rfam family "Eukaryotic small subunit ribosomal RNA", at positions 1470 to 1796 of the family's 1831-position model. The record is from RNAcentral.
CCCUUAGAUGUCCUGGGCCGCACGCGCGCUACACUGAUGCAUUCAACGAGUUUUACCUUGGCCGAGAGGCCUGGGCAAUCUUUUAAACCCGCAUCGUGAUAGGGAUAGAUUAUUGCAAUUAUUAAUCUUGAACGAGGAAUUCCUAGUAAACGCAGAUCAUCAAUCUGCAUUGAUUACGUCCCUGCCCUUUGUACACACCGCCCGUCGCACCUACCGAUUGAAUGGUCCGGUGAAGCCUCGGGAUUGUGGCCAGUUCACUUUAUUGGGAGUUGGCUGCGAGAACUUGUCUAAACCUUAUCAUUUAGAGGAAGGUGAAGUCGUAACA